GCUGCCGGUUUCCAGGGAAUAGGGAAAAUUCCUCUCUCUUCUCAACCGGAGCCAAAAGCAAACCCUCCUGGAGAUUCCCAGCAGAGCGCUGCGACCCACUUGCUGCAAGGACCGUGCGAGAGUGGUGUGAGAGGUGGUGACAGUGCAUCAGGCAACAGUAGGAGCUGCUGUGUCAACUCUGACCUUAUCAAGACCGCUAUGCGUGUACAAAGCAGUCAAGUUGGACAAAGAGGGAGGGAAGAAACACUCAUUCAGCAAAGAGCAGAAGCAUGACUCAAGGGGACAGUGGUCUGUCAUGGCAGAAACAUCUUUGCUUUCCUUCAUAAAGUAAUGGAAGGCAAGCACAUGGUAUGGAUGAUCCUGGAGCUAAAGCGAGAACAUCACUGAAGGAAGCAAAGAUUGCAAGAACAAGCUGGAGUAAACGUGGGCCAUGGACACCACACUGGAAAGCAUCUGUCUGAGUAACAGGGUGAAGAGGUAAAAUUGGAAAGAUGUAUUUUGCUGCAGGCCUUGUGCUUGCAUGCUUCCACAGACAGGUACAACUUCAAAUGUGGGAUUGCAGGAGUGUUGUAAGUUCAUCUAGAAGGAAGAAAUUCAAAAUCCCUCCAGCUCCUGAAAAAAUGUAUGCCAAUUAAUUCUGAAUUGGGAUUUUCCUUUACAUUUGAUCUACUUAAGAAUGCACCACAAGGAAAGCUUCCUAUGAGGAAAGCUUAGAAAUGCUCUCAGGGAAAAGGCACCAUCGUAACUCUCCCACUUCCUAAAGGGAUCAGAGUAGAACUCUACUUAAUGCACAUCCUCUAAAGGAAAUACAAGGCCCUACCUAAUACAGCCUCCUUAAGUUCUGCUGCAAAAAAAUAACCAGAUGAUCCCUCCCCAUCUCUGCUCUUGUUGUUUCUAGCUUCCCUACUGCGCUUUCUGACUGACUUGCACCUACAAAAAAAUCAGUUCCCUCCCUUGUUUACUACAGCACAAGGCUCUGGCAUUAAAGCCACUUACAUGGAACGAAAUGGGGGAGAUUGGAUGAGACCUGUGAAAUGAACAAUACAAAAUCGACCUAAGAUGACUUGUGUGGUAUAAGCUGGAUAGGUGGCAGGCAGCAGACGGUGCUGCUCGGAAAUCUUUGUGAAACCUGAUUAUGUUGUAGGAGUAUUUCAAGUUCACAAAAGACUAACUCUUCCUUUCCUUGGGAAUAGGAAGGAGAGGGCAGAGUGUCCCAGGGGUAGAGCUCUUCAGCAAUGUCCCGCUAAAGGCGUGGGGCAGAUGCUGAGCAUGAGAGAAGGGAGGAGUGAGAGGGUUUAGCAACUAUGUUGGCUGUGCCAAAGAAACAAGUGGUGGGUGUUCAAGCACUGGAUGUGCCAGAGGUGCAAAAGUCUUGUCUCCUGGUUAGUGAGGCAGUAGUAAGGGAAAUGAAUUCACAGUGGAAGGAGAGCAGCGUGACAGUAGGCUUGGAUAGAAGAGGCUUUCCCUUCAGGCUGUGUCCUUCAGGGUGCUGUUUUACCUUGGAACGGUAUGUACCCCAAUACUCUUACCUCAGCGUCACUUUAAUCCUCGGUUCCUAUGCCAUCUCGCUCUCUUUGUUUAAAUAAGCAGUUUGGGCUGGACGCUUCUGGAAAAAUGACUGCAUCCAAAACUUUCAUCAGAAAGUGCUGACUUCAUGAUUUGUAUCUGAUUACUGCCAAAAAAAUGAGACAGUCAUGUUUUCCUUAUAUGUGAUGGUUGGAGGGGCUGUAUUUGUUUCUGUGUUUUUGUUUUUCAUUUAUUUCAUUAUUUGCCAGCAAUACACAAUCAUGUCCUUUGUUUUAGUUCAGCUUUAUUCCCUUGUUCUCAUGUGAUAUUGUUUUAGGCACAAAGCGUCCCAGUUUUUUUAAUACUUCAUCACUUAUUAAUGCCGCAGAUCACGGGAUGAAGGGUUGUCAGCAUCCUCAUUUUUUCUGUAUUGACAGAUAUAAUGGCUGAUUUGUUAUUAAAUAGCUUUUAAAGGAUCUCUUCCUCUCUGGUUAUAUUUCUUUUCCUAAUUAUUUAGUGUA
This is a long non-coding RNA of Gymnogyps californianus (California condor), 2027 nucleotides long. RefSeq lists it as uncharacterized. The record is from RefSeq and is a predicted model, not a curated record. The transcript is spliced from 4 exons. Lineage: Eukaryota; Metazoa; Chordata; Aves; Accipitriformes; Cathartidae.